Molecule: long non-coding RNA, 526 nt
Organism: Cervus elaphus (red deer)
Lineage: Eukaryota; Metazoa; Chordata; Mammalia; Artiodactyla; Cervidae
Exons: 3
Source: RefSeq, a predicted model, not a curated record
CUUGUCAGCUCGGCCCCUGAAAGACUGGGAUGAGCAGAACUCCCCUGGUUACUUGUGAUGAGCAUGUAUAUGGUGGGUCAAGCUGCUGAAAUCUUGAAGUGAUUUAUAACUGCAGUCCAACCCGAUGAAGGAAAUCCAGCCCAGAGAUGCCUAGUGACCUCCCCAAAGAGUUGAGACUGGAAUUCAUGUCUCCUCAUUUCCAGAGCAAUUUGUUUUCAGUACAAGUUGUAGAAUGAUGGCAAAUAAGCUCUAAAGAUCCUGAACUAUGCCUGGGAACAACAUGUUCGUGUGACGUAAAGAUAUUUGGGAUACAAUGCAAUGGGGAGAAAGCAGGGAGGAAAGGAGGAAUAUACCCUUUGAUGUAAUCCUGCUUUGUCACUGUGGAGAAUCAAGCAUAAUUUAACUGAAUUAAAACCAGUUCUCUAAUGCAUCAGAUAAAAAUGCCAUAUUGAUAAUUCAGUACCAAACUGCAUUUAAAAAUACCACCUGUAUAAAACAUCAUACCAAUUUAAGCUGCUACCCACCC